RNAcentral lists this ribosomal RNA (555 nucleotides) under Phoma sp. RH14. Its description in RNAcentral is "eukaryotic LSU rRNA". The stretch from base 197 to 350 matches the Rfam family "5.8S ribosomal RNA". Lineage: Eukaryota; Fungi; Ascomycota; Dothideomycetes; Pleosporales; Didymellaceae. The record is from RNAcentral.
AGAGGAAGUAAAAGUCGUAACAAGGUUUCCGUAGGUGAACCUGCGGAAGGAUCAUUACCUAGAGUUGUAGGCUUUGCCUGCUAUCUCUUACCCAUGUCUUUUGAGUACCUUCGUUUCCUCGGCGGGUUCGCCCGCCGAUUGGACAAUUUAAACCAUUUGCAGUUGCAAUCAGCGUCUGAAAAAACAUAAUAGUUACAACUUUCAACAACGGAUCUCUUGGUUCUGGCAUCGAUGAAGAACGCAGCGAAAUGCGAUAAGUAGUGUGAAUUGCAGAAUUCAGUGAAUCAUCGAAUCUUUGAACGCACAUUGCGCCCCUUGGUAUUCCAUGGGGCAUGCCUGUUCGAGCGUCAUUUGUACCUUCAAGCCUUGCUUGGUGUUGGGUGUUUGUCUCGCCUCCGCGUGUAGACUCGCCUCAAAACAAUUGGCAGCCGGCGUAUUGAUUUCGGAGCGCAGUACAUCUCGCGCUUUGCAUUCAGAACGACGACGUCCAAAAGUACAUUUUUACACUCUUGACCUCGGAUCAGGUAGGGAUACCCGCUGAACUUAAGCAUAUCA